Molecule: long non-coding RNA, 612 nt
Filed under: Homo sapiens (human)
Lineage: Eukaryota; Metazoa; Chordata; Mammalia; Primates; Hominidae
Description: non-protein coding lnc-ARMCX6-3:1
Source: RNAcentral
AACUCUAUUGCGCAGCUCGCUGCCGUGCGUUUAACCCAGGCGAGGAGGAGGAGGAGAAAAUUCCCCCAGAUUCGGGCAGGCCCGCACCCCACAUUCCGUCCUGUUUUGAGAGGAGGAGGGAAGAGAAAUAAACGUGGCAGCGCAUAGAAGGCCAGCAGGGAGACUGCUUUCCAGACACCUCCGGCCCACACAGCCGUUCACCCCCCGUCUUUUCAGUCCUGGAAAAGGAAUUCGGGCUUUCAUUGUCUAACGUCGACAGUCUAUAUUUCUGCUCUUCAGUCUGUCCUUAGGAUGAAGCUCUAACUGAACUGAAGUAAGGAGAAACAGCCUUGAAUCUUUGGAGGGUCUGUCUUCCUUUUGGGCUCUGUGCAACUGCAGCUACAGUGGAAAAAAGCAAACUGCUCUUGAUCCCAGGCCCUGCCUAAGCCUCAGCAGAACUUGUAAGCCUAAACUGAAGAGCCUCACCCGGACGAGCAGGCAUCCCUUAACCUUAAGCAAUCCAGUUCCACGCCCUGGAUCAGUGAAUAACCCCAGCUGCACCAUGAGCCGCGUUCGGGAUGCUGGCUGUGUAGCGGCGGGGAUAGUGAUAGGGGCUGGUGCCUGGUACUGUGU